Small nucleolar RNA from Pongo abelii (Sumatran orangutan), 99 nucleotides. Its record names the gene U3. It matches the Rfam family "Small nucleolar RNA U3". Rfam says of the family: Small nucleolar RNAs (snoRNAs) are involved in the processing and modification of rRNA in the nucleolus. The record is from Ensembl. Lineage: Eukaryota; Metazoa; Chordata; Mammalia; Primates; Hominidae.
AAGACUAUACUGUCAGGGAUCAUUUCUAUAGUUUGUUUCUAGAGAAGUUUCUCUGAAUGUGUAGAGCACCGCUUAAUUUUUUAAAUUUAGAUGAUAAAU